CCUAGAAGAAACUUAGCAAGAGGAUGAAGAAAGACCGGAGAUACACCAGAACAACGUAUGCUCAAGAGAGGAGCCGUCUGUUGUUCCGAAGUUUUUUGUUUCUAAAAAAAUCGGACGUAAUUUAGCCACUGUUGUUGCCCGUCGCUCUAACAUUACUUGGUUGCGCUAACUUUACUCGACCGUGCUAACGUUAAAGACAUGUCACUUCAAGCAUGCAGCGGAGCAACAUUAUGAACGCAAUAACAAUCCACCUACGAUCCCGCUACAGACCGUUGAGAAAGACGGGUUCAGAGCAAUGAUUAAAACACUGGAUUUAAGAUGUCUUGCCUCGCUGAAAUAUGUCCGCCAACCUGCUAACAUUAUUCAAACAGCGAAGGAGGCUGACAGCGGAGCUACGUUCAGUCGCCCACUACAACCUAACUUACCUGUGGCCAAGGUAGUGUUUAUACAACUAUCUUACAACUAUUUUGUUUUGAAAGGGAAACAAUGUUAAAGUUGUUUGUAUGUGUAUUCAUUCGAUUUAAGUUUAUUUUACUACUUUGCAGUUUGCACAAUAAAACUAGUUUAGAUUCUGGUAGUGUUUCAUGCAUUCUCCUUCAUAUAACGUUAGUGUAUAAUGUUGAUGAGCCAAGCAAACCCUUUAGUAAUCAAAGCUUUUAGUAAACAUGAUGACAUUAAAAUGUUUUUUGUGAUAUUCUAUGUACU
Sander lucioperca (pikeperch) is the source of this 705-nucleotide long non-coding RNA. RefSeq lists it as uncharacterized. The record is from RefSeq and is a predicted model, not a curated record. Lineage: Eukaryota; Metazoa; Chordata; Actinopteri; Perciformes; Percidae. The transcript is spliced from 3 exons.